This 1408-nucleotide unclassified non-coding RNA is filed under the name uncultured Neocallimastigales. RNAcentral describes it as "partial contains small subunit ribosomal RNA, internal transcribed spacer 1, 5.8S ribosomal RNA, internal transcribed spacer 2, and large subunit ribosomal RNA". The stretch from base 661 to 1408 matches the Rfam family "Eukaryotic large subunit ribosomal RNA", at positions 1 to 633 of the family's 3401-position model. The record is from RNAcentral. Lineage: Eukaryota; Fungi; Neocallimastigomycota; Neocallimastigomycetes; Neocallimastigales.
UUUCCGUAGGUGAACCUGCGGAAGGAUCAUUAAAAAAUAGGACUUCCAAUGGGAGUUCAUUAAUAAUCCUACCCUUUGUGAAUUUGUUUGUUUGAAAUAAUUUUUUUCCAAAAAAAUUAUUGAAUGUCUUUCCCUAUUUUUGGUUGAAGCGUAAAAGUGGAGACCAAGCAGGGAAUGGCAGACAUUAAUUUUUUUGAAAAAAGACCUUUUUUUAAAAUUAAACUUUUUGUAUUCAUUUGUCUAAAAUUAUUUUUAUAAUAUAAAAACAACUUUUGACAAUGGAUCUCUUGGUUCUCGCAACGAUGAAGAACGCAGCAAAAUGCGAUAAGUAAUGUGAAUUGCAGAAUACGUGAAUCAUCGAAUCUUCGAACGCAUAUUGCACUUUUUAGUUUACUAAAAAAGUAUGUCUGUUUGAGUAUCAGUAAAAUAUUCUCAUAAAAAACUUUUUUUGUUUUUUAUGGUUAUGAGUGUUUUACAACGAUAAACAAGUUGUUUCACUUUAAAUUCUUUGAAAUUUAAAAAAUCGUUAAAACUAAUUUUAAAAUGAUUUUUAAAAUUGGAUAAAAUUUUCCCGUAAAAAAGGAAUAACCUAAACAAUUUAAAAAAUUUAAAAUUGGUUGAUUUUUUUAAAUCCCAAAAGGAAAAAAGUAAAAAUUAACUUGAUCUCAAAUCAGAUAAGAGUACCCGCUGAACUUAAGCAUAUCAAUAAGCGGAGGAAAAGAAACUAACUAGGAUUCCCUCAGUAACGGCGAGUGAAGCGGGAAGAGCUCAAAUUUGAAAUCUUCAAGGUUCUACCUUGACGAAUUGUAGUUUAAAGAAGUGUUAUCUGUUGGAAUAGUUUGGUAUAAGUUCUUUGGAAUAGGACAUCAUGGAGGGUGAGAAUCCCGUAACGACCAUUUAUUCCAGCUCUGUGAUACACUUUCAAAGAGUCGGAUUGUUUGGGAAUGCAGCCCAAAAUGGGUGGUAAAUUUCAUCUAAAGCUAAAUAUUGGCGAGAGACCGAUAGCGAACAAGUACCGUGAGGGAAAGAUGAAAAGAACUUUGAAAAGAGAGUUAAACAGUACGUGAAAUUGUCAAAAGGGAAGCGUUUGACACCAGUGUUGUUUUCUCGAAAAUCAAUUAAAAAUGCUUGAUUUGUGUAAGGCGACCUUAUCAGCGUUUUCUUCACGAAACUAUUGUAAUGCACUUUUCGGUUAACAAGUCAACAUCAAUUUCUUUUGUUGUAAAAGAGUCAUUGGAAGGUGGCUUUCUUUUCGGAGAAAGUGUUUAUAGCCUAUGCUUCUGCAAUCGGAGAGAUUGAGGUCUGCAGCGUAGAUCCUUCGGGGUUAGAUGCAUUGUGCUAAGUUAUAGCCUUUCAUAGACAACUUGUUGACUAUGAUCAGUCAUGUAGCUUACUCGCUGAUGUAUUU